RNAcentral lists this ribosomal RNA (212 nucleotides) under uncultured bacterium. RNAcentral describes it as "partial 16S ribosomal RNA". It matches the Rfam family "Bacterial small subunit ribosomal RNA", at positions 524 to 735 of the family's 1533-position model. The record is from RNAcentral.
UACGGGGGGUGCAAGCGUUACUCGGAAUCACUGGGCGUAAAGAGCAUGUAGGCGGAUUAAUAAGUUUGAAGUGAAAUCCUGGAGCUUAACUAUAGAAGUGCUUGGAAAACUGUUAAUCUAGAAUGUGGGAGAGGUAGAUGGAAUUUCUGGUGUAGGGGUAAAAUCCGUAGAGAUCAGAAGGAAAACCGAUUGCGAAGGCGAUUUACUGGAAC